ACGUAGGGGGCAAGCGUUGCUCGGAAUUACUGGGCGUAAAGGGUGUGUAGGCGGCUGAUUAAGUCAAGGAUGAAAUCCCGAGGCUCAACUUCGGAACGGUCCUUGAUACUGGUCAGCUUGAGGCUAGUAAAGGAGAGCAGAAUUCCCGGUGGAGCGGUGAAAUGCGUAGAGAUCGGGAGGAACACCGGAGGCGUAGGCGGUUCUCUAGGCUAGGCCUGACGCUCAGACACGAAAGCUUGGGGAGCAAACGG
This 251-nucleotide ribosomal RNA is filed under the name uncultured prokaryote. RNAcentral's name for it is "partial 16S rRNA". It matches the Rfam family "Bacterial small subunit ribosomal RNA", at positions 525 to 775 of the family's 1533-position model. The record is from RNAcentral.